UAGAUUUCCAAAUGAUUAAAAGAACAAAGCCGAGCACCGCUAUUAAUGAAACUGCAAAAAGAGCUAAUAGAGAAAGCACUAUUUUCUAUGAGGGGGCGUUUGAUUCAUAACCGAAAUCAGAAUAGGAAUGAAAAUCAGAAUAGCUUGGAAUCGGAUCGCAAUGGCCAAAUCCUCCGAAGUGUUUGGUUCGUGAUUGGAAUCGAAAUCAG
RNAcentral lists this long non-coding RNA (209 nucleotides) under Elaeis guineensis (African oil palm). RNAcentral's name for it is "long non-coding RNA (EGUI_LNC061404)". Lineage: Eukaryota; Viridiplantae; Streptophyta; Magnoliopsida; Arecales; Arecaceae. The record is from RNAcentral.